CCCUCGGCGCCCCGGCUCCAUUCAAACCGUCCUCCCAAGCCCCGCGCCGCGCUCCCCCCGCGGCCCGCGUUCCUUACCGAGAGUGGCCGGCGCCGUCGCCUUCCCGGCACCGCCCCCGCCCCUCCGCGCGGGGCCGGGGGCAGAGUGGGCGUCUCGCCUCUCCUCACGAAACAAAGAAGCCGCCGCCGCCACCACCGCCGAGUGAGGGGGGCAUAUUGCCCUGGGGGAAGAGGAGAGUUCUAUUCACAAGAGCCCAGAAGUGGAAACAACCCAGAUGUGCAAUAUUUGAAUAAGGAGUAAACCAGAUGUGGUGGAGCCACACGGGGGACUAUUAGUCACCCAUAAAAAGGAAUGAAAUCCUGUCCUUGCUACAACAUGGAUGAUCGUCGAAAACACUAGGCGAAUAAGAGGUCAGACACCGAAGAGUCACGCAGUGUAGGAUUCCAUCUGUAUGAAAUAUCCAGAGUCGGUCCUCCGUGGCUGCAGGAGACAUGUGGUGCCGGGUCCGCGGAGCCUAGGGAGUCCUUGGCCGUGUGCCUCGUCUGACCUCAGCUGACCUGGAAGGGCCAUCCCCACAGUAAUCUCUAUACCCAAUAUGGAACUUGAACUCAUGACCCCAAGAUCAAGAGUCAGUCUUGCUCUUCCCACUGAGCCAGCCAUGGGUCACCUAGGUUCACGGAGGUUAGGCCUAGACCAAGCUAACUCUGAAUCAGCUUCAACUAACAAGGAACCAGAUGAGCGGGAGAGAGGCCGGAAAGGUUGUGAAAACCCAGGGAAAGAACACUGUGCACAUAAUUUAUUUAAGUCACUCUGGAUCUGAGGCUAAAACACAGCGGAUGCCAUCCCGGGUGGACGGUCAGCCAGCGCUCCGCGCCCUUCCGGAUCCAGGCCUGGGUUUCAUCUGGGGACCUCCGACCGCACCAGGGAGUC
Molecule: long non-coding RNA, 930 nt
Organism: Canis lupus familiaris (dog)
Lineage: Eukaryota; Metazoa; Chordata; Mammalia; Carnivora; Canidae
Exons: 5
Source: RefSeq, a predicted model, not a curated record